AGGAAUAUUGGUCAAUGGGCGGAAGCCUGAACCAGCCAUGCCGCGUGGAGGAUGACUGCCCUCUGGGUUGUAAACUCCUUUUACGGGGGACGAAAAAAGGGAAUUCUUUCCCGUCUGACGGUACCCCGUGAAUAAGCACCGGCUAACUCCGUGCCAGCAGCCGCGGUAAUACGGAGGGUGCAAGCGUUAUCCGGAUUCACUGGGUUUAAAGGGAGCGUAGGCCGGCAUGUAAGUCAGUGGUGAAAUCCUGGGGCUCAACCCCGGAACUGCCAUUAAUACUAUGUGCCUUGGAUCCUGUCGAGGUUUGCGGAAUAUGUCAUGUAGCGGUGAAAUGCUUAGAUAUGACAUAGAACACCGAUUGCGAAGGCAGCAGGCUAGACAGGCAUCGACGCUGAGGCUCGAAAGCGUGGGGAUCGAAC
Molecule: ribosomal RNA, 419 nt
Filed under: uncultured bacterium
Lineage: Bacteria
Description: bacterial SSU rRNA
Rfam family: Bacterial small subunit ribosomal RNA
Source: RNAcentral